AAUCUCUCCUAUGCAAAAUAAGGGAAUUAUCAAAAAUGGGUAUUUGGAUAUUUUCUUUGUGUAACUAAAUUGUGCCCAGGGGAACAUCCUCUGUGUUUUGAAUCUG
Long non-coding RNA from Gopherus evgoodei (Goodes thornscrub tortoise), 106 nucleotides. RefSeq lists it as uncharacterized. Lineage: Eukaryota; Metazoa; Chordata; Testudines; Testudinidae. The record is from RefSeq and is a predicted model, not a curated record. The transcript has 4 exons.